AGCUCCAAUAGCGUAUAUUAAAGUUGUUGCAGUUAAAAAGCUCGUAGUUGGAUUUGUGGUUGAGUGGUUCGGUCCGACGCUUGUUGUGUGGGUACCUGAGCCGUUCGUCCAUCCUUGGGUGGAAUCUGUGUGGCAUUAGGUUGUCGUGCAGGGGAUGCCCAUCGUUUACUGUGAAAAAAUUAGAGUGUUCAAAGCAGGCUUAUGCCGUUGAAUAUAUUAGCAUGGAAUAAUGAGAUAGGACCUUGGUACUAUUUUGUUGGUUUGCGCACCGAGGUAAUGAUUAAUAGGGACAGUUGGGGGUAUUCGUAUUCCAUUGUCAGAGGUGAAAUUCUUGGAUUUUUGGAAGACGAACUACUGCGAAAGCAUUUACCAAGGAUGUUUUCAUUAAUCAAGAACGAAA
This 400-nucleotide ribosomal RNA is filed under the name phytoplankton environmental sample. RNAcentral describes it as "partial small subunit ribosomal RNA". It matches the Rfam family "Eukaryotic small subunit ribosomal RNA", at positions 587 to 988 of the family's 1831-position model. The record is from RNAcentral.